Molecule: ribosomal RNA, 2046 nt
Filed under: Triticum aestivum (bread wheat)
Lineage: Eukaryota; Viridiplantae; Streptophyta; Magnoliopsida; Poales; Poaceae
Description: partial small subunit ribosomal RNA
Source: RNAcentral
AUGGAGAUGGAUCCACUACCCAAAAUGCUUGCCUCUCUCAUCAUGACCAUACUGAUCAUGACCAUGAUGGCCACCUCCGCCGCAGUUGCGUCGUCGGAUGCAGCGGUGCUCGAAGGACAAGCAAGAGCACUCCUCGUCUGGAAAGAUAGCCUCGACAACCAAAGCCAGCAAGGCCUGCGCUCCUGGGGAAACACGUCGACGCCUUGCAACUGGCGCGGCAUCAGUUGCGAUAUCAGUGUGCACCGACAACAGCAUUGGCCGGUGAUCAACGGCAUCUCUCUAUGGGGUAUGCGGCUGAGAGGGGCUCUGGAGUCCCUCAACUUCUCGGCCUUGAGGACCUUGACACGCCUCGACCUCUCGCACAACCUCCUCGCUGGGAGCAUUCCUCCUAGUAUCGAGGUCCUUGGCGAGCUCCAUGCUCUCCUUUUGCAAGGCAACCAGAUAAGAGGCUCAAUCCCACUAGGUCUAGGAAAUCUCACAAAAUUACAUUCCUUAAUGCUUCAUGAAAAUGAACUCUUCGGUGAAAUACUAAGUCAGAUAGGCAACUUGAGUAGUCUUGUCACCCUCAACUUGUCAAACAAUCACUUAGUUGGUCAUAUCCCUUGUGAAAUAGGACACAUGAAGCACUUAGUUGCAUUAGAUUUGUCCAGUAAUGAUCUUUUUGGUAAAAUACCAAGCAGCAUAGGUGGUUUGACCGAACUCACUAGCUUGUACCUUUACGGUAAUCGACUUUCUGGACAAAUUCCACGAGAACUAGGUUAUCUUCUAAACUUAAAGGACCUGCAACUUGGCAUCAACACACUGUCGGGUUUCAUUCCACGAAAUUUACAUAAUUUGACCAAGCUCACUGUGUUAAUUCUAGGGGGAAACAAACUUUCCGGGUUAAUUCCACAAAAAAUAGAUUACCUUUCGAACUUAGAGUACCUGGAUCUUGGUGACAACAUACUCCCGGGUUCCAUCCCAAAUAGCAUAGGAAAUUUGACCAAACUCAUAGCGUUGUACAUUUUCGUCAACCAACUUUCUGGACACAUUCCUCGAGAACUAGGUUAUCUUGAGAAGUUAGAGCGGUUGUAUCUUGGCACUAACACCUUAAUUGGUUCCAUCCCGAAUAGUAUAGGAAAUUUGACCAAACUCACAACCUUGUUCCUUUACAACAACCAACUUUCUGGACACAUCCCUCAAGAACUAGGUUUCCUUGAGAACAUAGAGAGGUUGACGCUUAGCAGAAACAUGCUAACAAGCUCCAUCCCAAAUAGCAUAGGAAAUUUAACCAAACUCGCAUCCUUGGACAUUUUCAUGAACCAAAUUUGUGGACACAUCCCUCGAGAACUAGGUCGCCUUGUGAACUUAGUGAGUCUGGAUCUUGGCGCUAACACCCUAAUUGGUUCCAUUCCAAAUAGCAUAGGAAAUUUGACCAAACUCACAUACUUUUACAUUUCCAGCAACCAAAUUUCUGAACACAUCCCUCGAGAACUAGGUCGCCUUGUGAACUUAGAGAGUUUGGAUCUUGGCAAUAACACCCUAACUGAUGCCAUCCCAAAUAGCAUAGGAAAUUUGACCAAACUCAGAGGCUUGUACCUUUACGACAACCAACUUUCUGUACACAUCCCUCGAGAACUAGGUCGCCUUGAGAACUUAGAGCAGUUGGUGCUUAGCAACAACACACUAACAGGUUUCAUCCCAAAUAGCAUAGGAAAUUUGACGAAACUCUACAUUUUGUACCUUGAUAAUAACCAACUUUCUAGGCAAAUUCCACAAGAACUAGGUUAUUUAGUCAGCUUAUACUACUUGGGGCUUAGCUACAACGCAUUGACAGAUUCCAUCCCAAAAAAACUAGGCAAUCUCACAGAACUCGCUGUCUUGUACCUCGACAAUAACAAAUUUUCCGGCCACAUUCCACGAGAAUUAAGUUAUUUGGCCAACUUAAAGUGGUUGUCUCUUAGAAAUAAUGCACUAACAGGUCCCAUCCCAAAUAGCCUUGGCAAUCUGACAGAACUCAAAAGGUUGGACUUUGGCCAGAACCAACUUUCGAGGCGAAUUCCAUAA